GUGGGUUGCCUCUUCUUCCACAUUCUUGCAACAUCAUGAUCCCGGGAUGGCCGUCCUAACUCUACGCCUCGCUUCUCUACCCAAGAUGUAUUAAGGAGGGAAAGACAAGACCAUUGAGCUCUCGACUUGCCCCUUAUAUAAGGGAGACACAUUUUCCCAGAAGCCUAAGAGGACACCCUCUUCUUAUGAGUGGCCCAAACCAGACCACAUCGAACUCCAGGAAGACGGGGACAUUCUGCAUUGGGAUUUCCAGCUUCCAUAGUGAGAGGCAGUGAGAGAAAGAGGAAGGCCAGGAAUUUCUGGCCAACAACAGUGUUUGCUGGAAAAACCUUCACAGAGAAACCACAAGACAUCAGAAACGGAAAGUUACUCAAGCCAUUUUAGCCUGGGAAGUUUUUGAAAAUGGAGAAAAAUGAAACAUUUUAGGCUGAGUUCAAAACAUGGAGUUGGACAGAGCUAGACCCACCUUAGGAAAAACCUUAGGCUGGAAAGCCCUGUGCUGGAGGCAAAGCUUCUGUGUUCAGAGGCAUGGCUCCCAGUUCUGUGGCCCAAGGAAAGUCAGUCCCACAAACCUAGAUGAUGGGUUACAUUGUGGACUAGACAGAAAUCAAAGACUUUGCCGCUGAUAAUACGGUUUCAUUAGCUGUUAGGGAUUAAAAGCCAGAAGGGGGGUGGGGGGGGAUCUCCCACCUCAUGCUGAUCACACAAGCCCGUCAACCUAGGACAUGAUUUUGUCAGAAAUAAGGAGCCAAAACCACUUUCCCAUCAAGAAUGUUCUUUUCCGGAGGGAGGAGCCAAGAUGGCGGAACAGCAUGGAAGUUUUUUGCGCGUUUCGUAUCCAUGAAAUACAGCCAGACCAACACUAAACCAUCCUGCACACCUAGAAAACUGAUGGGAGGAUUAACACAACAAUCUUCACAACCUGAACCACAGAACUCAGCAGGUCAGUUGCUCUGGGAGAAGUCAGCUGCCAUGUCAUGAGCAAUCCUCUGGAGAGGCCCAUGCAGCAAGGAAUUAAAGCUCUGGCCAAUGGGCAUGUGAGCACACCAUCUUGGAAGUGGUUCCUCCAGCCCCACUCAAGCUUCAUAUGAUGUGUGUCCAGCUGACAUCCUGACUGAAACCACAUGAGAAACCUUGAGCCAGAACCACCCAGUUAGACCACACUUGGGUUCCAGACCCUCAGAAACGAUGUGAGAUAAUAAUAGUUUGUUGCUUUAAGCUGCUAAGUUUGGGAGUAACUUGAUCCACAGCAAUAGAUAACCAAUAUACCCUUUCAACCUGGAUCAUGAGCUUUAAGACACCAGGAAGAGGCUCAGCUUUCUGCUAUGUUGACCUCAUUCUCAGUCUCCUUAAAGCAAGGUGUCAUCCAGCAGCUCCAAACAUAUAAUUGAUCACCUUACCUCUCUAAUAGAGAAAGAAAGAACACGUCACUGCCAGCCAUUUGAGCAAAGUGCCAGUGACAACUCUCAUUGGUCCAGAUAGGGUCGUGGGGCCACCUCUGAAUCAAUCAUUGAAAUUCUGGUGACUUUUUUUGGUGCUAAAAGAUGGGAUGAAACCUGUUUGGCCACAUAGACCAUGAGAAAAAGACGGAUGGUUUCCCUUCCAAGAUAAAGAGGCCGUUGAAAGAAGACGGUAAGUGGAUGCCGAACAGACCAAAGCAACAAGUGUCCGCUCCACAUCCCAUAACAACCUUUUUCGAUGCCCUUUGAUGCCAUUGGGAUAUCUCCUGCCAAACGCAUUCUUCUCUAACUUUAUGGCCAGUGGUCCUGUAUUCGCCUCUUGCCCAGGAAAUGAAAUCUUCUUCAACACCAUUGACAUCACCAGCUGCUCGCUUCCCAUGUCCUCUUCUUUGUCUUCCAAAGUCCCAGCCAUCCGCUGAGUGAAAAGAUAGAAUACCACCUGUAUCCCCGCCCCUCCACCCAUCCUUCGGAGUCCGUUCGGAACUGCAAACCUUCCCGAGACGUGGUUCAGAGUUCCUUUGGCCACACCGUUCCUCUACACGUGCAUCAGAAGGAGUCCUGCCUGCACGUUCUGUGCAAAUAUUCCAUUGUGCUCCAGAAACAUGUGCCCCCGCCAGCGUGCUGCACCUGGUCUCAGAAGGGAAUCUGCUUAUUCUGGGAAUGCACAAGUUUGUUUGUUUUUCACCCGGCCAUGUCUGCUUCUCUGAUAUGUGUAAUCCUACAGUACCUGGCAUGGUGCUGAGGACACGCCAUAUAUUCAAGGAUUCAUGCCCUGUUUUCCUUCUUGCCCUAUCCAAGAGCCCUCAAAAAAACCCCAAACAGACCAAACAAAAUAAACUAAGCUGAAUUUGGAAUCAGGAAAGAGAUCCUGGGACUUCAUCUGUAAUGUAUUUUUCAAGCGAGGCGGUGGGGUAGGUGACUGCUUAUUGUAUUAUCAACGAGUCUUCUGAAAUGUUUCAUACAUUUAAAAGUUUGCAGGUUGCAACUCAAGCUGACCAACCGAAAAGCUAAUCCGAUCAUGUCACAACCCGCAUGGCUCCCCACAGCUCACAGGAGGACAACAGACGUUGUUGGCAUGUGAGGUCCAAGAUGUGGUCCCGUCUUCCUUUUCCUUAUCCAUUAAGGAUUGAAUGUUUGUGUCCCGACCCCACUCCGCCACCAAAAAUGUUACUAUGUUGAAGCUCUAAGUCCUAAUGAGAUUUUUUUUUUAACGUUUCUUUAUUCU
Molecule: long non-coding RNA, 2685 nt
Organism: Prionailurus viverrinus (fishing cat)
Lineage: Eukaryota; Metazoa; Chordata; Mammalia; Carnivora; Felidae
Exons: 3
Source: RefSeq, a predicted model, not a curated record